This 504-nucleotide ribosomal RNA is filed under the name uncultured bacterium. RNAcentral's name for it is "partial 16S ribosomal RNA". It matches the Rfam family "Bacterial small subunit ribosomal RNA", at positions 30 to 523 of the family's 1533-position model. The record is from RNAcentral.
AUUGAACGCUGGCGGCAUGCCUUACACAUGCAAGUCGAACGGCAGCAUGGAGAGCUUGCUCUCUGAUGGCGAGUGGCGAACGGGUGAGUAAUGCAUCGGAACGUACCGUGUAAUGGGGGAUAACGUAGCGAAAGUUACGCUAAUACCGCAUACGACCUGAGGGUGGAAGCAGGGGAUCGCAAGACCUUGCGUUAUACGAGCGGCCGAUGUCAGAUUAGCUAGUUGGUGAGGUAAAGGCUCACCAAGGCGACGAUCUGUAGCGGGUCUGAGAGGAUGAUCCGCCACACUGGGACUGAGACACGGCCCAGACUCCUACGGGAGGCAGCAGUGGGGAAUUUUGGACAAUGGGGGCAACCCUGAUCCAGCCAUGCCGCGUGAGUGAAGAAGGCCUUCGGGUUGUAAAGCUCUUUCGGCCGGGAAGAAAUCGCACAGGCUAAUACUCUGUGUGGAUGACGGUACCGGCAUAAGAAGCACCGGCUAACUACGUGCCAGCCGCCGCAGUAA